This 331-nucleotide unclassified non-coding RNA is filed under the name soil metagenome. Its description in RNAcentral is "partial contains 5.8S ribosomal RNA, internal transcribed spacer 2, and large subunit ribosomal RNA". The stretch from base 1 to 120 matches the Rfam family "5.8S ribosomal RNA", at positions 35 to 154 of the family's 154-position model. The record is from RNAcentral.
GAUGAAGAACGCAGCGAAAUGCGAUAAGUAGUGUGAAUUGCAGAAUUCAGUGAAUCAUCGAAUCUUUGAACGCACAUUGCGCCCCUUGGUAUUCCAUGGGGCAUGCCUGUUCGAGCGUCAUUUGUACCUUCAAGCUUUGCUUGGUGUUGGGUGUUUGUCUCGCCUUUGCGUGUAGACUCGCCUUAAAAUCAUUGGCGGCCUUUGGAUUCGGCUCGAGCGCAGCACAUCGCGUCUCGGCCCGGCCCGCUGGCGUCCAGCAAGCGCAACUUUAUUUUGACCUCGGAUCAGGUAGGGAUACCCGCUGAACUUAAGCAUAUCAAUAAGCGGAGGA